This 254-nucleotide ribosomal RNA is filed under the name uncultured bacterium. RNAcentral describes it as "partial 16S ribosomal RNA". It matches the Rfam family "Bacterial small subunit ribosomal RNA", at positions 524 to 776 of the family's 1533-position model. The record is from RNAcentral.
GACGUAGGGCGCGAGCGUUGUCCGGAUUUAUUGGGCGUAAAGAGCUCGUAGGCGGUGUGUCGCGUCGGCUGUGAAAACCUGCAGCUCAACUGUGGGCUUGCGGUCGAUACGGGCAUCACUGGAGUUCGGCAGGGGAGACUGGAAUUCCUGGUGUAGCGGUGAAAUGCGCAGAUAUCAGGAGGAACACCGGUGGCGAAGGCGGGUCUCUGGGCCGAUACUGACGCUGAGGAGCGAAAGCGUGGGGAGCGAACAGG